AAAUCUCCAAACAGCACUUUAAUUAUUUUGUUGGAUACUGUAUUCAGACAUCAGCCACAUUUCAAAACAAAGAAAUCAAGGAGAUUGGAAAGGUCUAUUCUGUAUAAACUUUGUGAGCCUGCCAUAGUAAAAUCAGCCAGUAUAUAUUGCGAAACUGUUCACGCCAACACUUAGGGACUUUCAGGGGUAAGCACCUCCCCCGUGCUGAUGCCCAUAUUUGUACCCAUGUUUGUAGGACAUGACUCUUCUACACCCUAACCCCUGCUGACAGGAUGGGGGGUCUGUAUCUUAGCAAAGCUGGACAAUCAGAAUCUCUUCUUGGAAUUUAGAAUUGGAACACAGAAACUAGACUGCACUUAAUUUCUGAUGAGUGUUUGAGUUAGGAGAUCUGGAAACGCAGAGGCUGGGACCAACAUGUGCGGGCCGGAGCACAGUAAGAUAAUCUACAGUAAGACCCAGGAAAAAUAAAGUUGAUGUACCAAUAGGAGCAGAGCCAAGAGAUCAACUCUUCUGAAAAAAACAAAGCAAAUAACCUUGGAUUCAAAUUUUCUGGGUCCUGGAUCCAGUACCAAAUGACAGAUCUCUAUAAUUAUUACUCUACAGUUAUUAGAGAUACCAUCAGACAUUCAAUACAUUCCCCACUUUUUGUUUCUGACCUGAGCUGGUUUGAAUGAGUUUCUGUUCUGACAACAAAGUGAUUCCCCUCUUUAUUCAACCAGGCACUGGUACUCCUUGUCCAUUAUGAGAUUAAUAAGAAAUAAAUGAAGUUAAUUAUAAGGAAUUAAUUAAUGAUAAAAUAUAGUACCCUGAUAGAAAAGGGCUAAAGGCAGAUUAUCUAGAAUGGAUAUUUUAAGUUAAAUUUAAACAAAUAUAUGUGGUAGCCAUACACUCAUAUUGCUAUAUUAGAAAGAGGAGAUAACAAAAGCAAGAGGAAGAAAAUAAAAGGGGAAACCAAGGCAGUUCCUGACUUUUAAGUUCUUUCCUUCAGCAGUGUCUACUCUUCCCCUUUUUGUUUUUACAAAAUCCUCCAACAAAAGAUAAGCUUGGUAAAGAUCCAAAAAGUGGGAAUGUACAAAUUAACAACUAGUUUCUAAGCAUCUUAUAGGAACUCAACAUUAUAUAAGGUUGUUGGGGAAUCAGCAGAAAAAAAAGCAUUGAUCCUUACAUGCAGAGAACUACAACUACAAUCUAGUUAACAUGUUAGAUAACACCAGCACAAGAGUCAUUACAUGGACAUAGAAAAUUGAGGUGAUUGCCUUAUGCCUGAGUCCCAGAAAACAUGGGUGGGUCCCAUGGUAUUCAAGUAUUCAAGAGAAAUACAUGCCCCAAGCAGAAUCAGAUCCACAGCCAAAUGGAAUACAUAGACUAUCUUCUAGGGGAGACAAACUCAUAGUGAGGAAGGUAAUACUGAGCAUUAAGUCUGAAGAGCAAGUUAGAAAAAAGAGAAAGCAUGUGUCUUUAUAGUACAAUGAUUUAUAAUCCAUUGGGUAUAUACCCAGUAAUGGGAUUGCUGGGUCAAAUGAUAUUUCUGGUUCUAGAUCCUUGAGGAAUCACCGCACUGUCUUCCACAGUGGUUGAACUAAUUUACACUCCCACCAGUAGUGUAAAUAUGUUCCUAUUUCUCCACAUUCUCUCCAGCAUCUGUUGUUUCCUGACUUUUUAGUGAUUGCCAUUCUAACUGGCAUGAGAUGGUAUCUCAUUGUGGUUUUGAUUUGCAUUUCUGUAAUGACCAGUGAUAAUGAGCUUUUUUCAUGUUUGUUGGCCGCAUAAAUGUCUUCUUUUUUUUGUAUAUGCAUACUUUUAUUUUUACAUUGUAAAUUACCACUUUUUUACAGCAUAUAAAUGAACAUAGGUAUAAGCCAGCAAGAAUAAAUAGCAUAUAUCUAGUGAAAAGAAUCAGAAUUUCUCAAACACAGUAAAUACCUACAUCCUACUUUUUAGGAACCAAAUGCCAACUACAUAUAUAUAACAAGGUAAGUACUGCUAUAUCAGCAUUACCAAAAACACUUUCUUUAGGAAUUGUAAAUAAGUAUCAUCCAGCACCUGGAUGCUAAAUAAAAGAGCUGGAAGACUAAAUAAAAAGGAAAGUCACUCUUUUUCAGAUGGGCCUCCUCUUCAGGGGUCAGCUUUCUCUUUAUAAGGUUGGUAAUACCCUUCUCUCCAAAGAAGGAAUACUGAGGAAGACUUCUUCAUUUAUUCCGUAGAGGCCCUUAAUUAUGGUGGAAACUGGAUGUUUUCUCCUAAGAUUCUUCAAAAUACUUUCUGUUAAAUCAGCUCCAGAUAGGCCAAUGGCCCACGAAGUAGAACUUUUCAUUUCAAUAAUCUCAUAGGCACUAGCAAUCACUUCUUUGUGGACAUUUUUCCAUUUCUCAGGAUCUUUAUCAGUUCCUAUAUCAGAGUUCAGAUCCUUCAAAAGGACACCAGCUAUGUUCAUUCCACUCCACACAGGAACACUUGAGUCUCCAUGCUCUCCGAGGAUCCAUCCACGGCAGCUUUCAGAGUGGAUACCAAGCUUUUGUCCAAUGAAGAAUUGAAAACGAACAGUAUCCAGAUUACAGCCGCUUCCAAUAACACGGUUUUUGGGAAAUGCACUCAACUUCCAGGCUACGUAAGUUAAGAUAUCUACUGGAUUGGAAACAAUAAUUAGUUUGCAGAGGGGGCUCUGCUGGACAAUACUGGAAAUCAUUAACUUGAAGAUGGCCACAUUUUGCCGGACUAAAUUAAAGCGCAUUUCUCCCUUUUCUCGGCGUGCACCUGCUGUGAUAAUCACUAGAUGGGGGUUUGCUGUGACAAGGUAAUCUUUGCUACAAACAAUAUUUGACAUUUUCAUGAAAGGGCUGUCAUGUUGAAGAUCCAUUGUCUCACCUUUCAGUUUGCCUUCAUCAAGAUCCACAAAGGCAAGUUCAUCACUCAAGCCUUUUAAUAAGAUGCUGGUAGCGCAGGCCAUGCCCACUGAUCCAGUUCCUGUGAUGGAGACCUUUCUGUGAUGAAAGGGCUCCUCGGAAGUGAAGCACUCAAUAAGCUCACUCUUCACAGUCGCCAUCUUGCUCACGGAGGUGAAGAG
Molecule: long non-coding RNA, 3064 nt
Filed under: Homo sapiens (human)
Lineage: Eukaryota; Metazoa; Chordata; Mammalia; Primates; Hominidae
Description: non-protein coding lnc-PPM1H-1:1
Source: RNAcentral